AAUCAAGGUAUGACGAUGGCAGCAAAGGAUAUAAACUCAUGGUCGACAGAUCAGAAAUGCCAAGAUAUGGCAGAUGCUGGAAAAAUGCCAUGAUAACAAUGCAAAAUGGCUGCAAGAAUCUCACAGGCAAAGCCCAAAGUCGGCUAUCCUUGGCCUACCUCAACUGUUUCCUGGAAUUUCAAGGUCGAGACGUGUAUAAGUGUGACGUUGAUCAACCGUUUCAUGAAUGUACAAAAAAAAAUGCUGGAUGUGGACAGAGGUUCAUUUACAACCUUUUUCACACACACUCUAAAUAUAUGUUACUUUCUUCAGGCGCAAAUAUGGCAUGAGGAAACAGAGAACACAAUUGGUCGACUUUCUAACAGUUCGUCUCAGGUAGCAUCGAAACUAAAAGAUUCCUACAAGCUACAGAAUGAAGUACUAAAAACAACAGGAGGAAAGCAUAAAAAAUCAAGAAACGAUCAUGAACAAGGCUUCAAAUUUGAGUAAGAUCAUUUCCGCCUCGUCUGACGACAUUCGUGAGAUGUUCAAGGACUUCAAUGAGACAACACAGAAACACCGUGUACUCAUCACUCACGUGUUUGAUCGUGUUACCGAAUUAUAGUUCUUGGCUUAUGGAGGAAUUUCAAGUUUUCAGUCCAUUGUGUUCUAUAUCCUGUUGAUAAUUGGGUCGUGUCUGUUGACGUCAUCUUCUUGGACAAGCAGCGAGAGGCUCUGUUUGUUGGGACUGGUGAUAGGGAAUAUCAUUGUAGAACGGAUGGGUUGUCUUCAUGAGGCCUUGUAUUUUUAGAAAUCUACCGUUUCUAGUCUUUCAGAAUGAGGAGGAGAUGAUAUAUGGUAGUCAGCUUCUAGUUCGAUUGGGUUCGGUCCUUAUUGGGUUCAUCAUCCUCCUUGGCUUCUCCGUUUUCUUCAAGGACCCGAACACCAUCAACAACCAACCUCUGGAGGAGAUCCGGAAAGAGAUCUCAUAUAUCAGGGGCUGUCUCAGAAUAUCAGAAUCAAGCAGCAACACUCAACACAUGUCAACCCAGGGUGAAGAGGGAGUCGAAGCUGACUCUGGUAUCACACUGGACAAAGCAAACGAAACAGACUGAUCCCAAGAAGCCACACACAGACAUAUAUGCACAUCAUUAAAUUCACCAGCGAAGGCAUCCCCGUCAUCAACUUCAGCAAAGGCAUCCAAUUCUGAAGCACCAAGAUACCAUCUUCGACCUCGAAACCCGUCCCCGCCAGUCCAAGCCCAGUGCUCAGUGGGGAAUCUCUAUUUAAAACUUCUCCAAGAUUGUCGCCAUUUUGAACAAAACACAAAGAAAAAUGGCAUUCUUGCUCGAGCUGUUUUAGCGGAAAAGAAUUGACUGAUUCAGUAGCCGAUAGACUUUCAUUAAUCAUUUAAAGGAUUAAUUAUGUUGUGUUGUGAUUUGCUUUCUGGAAAGUCAACAGGUCGUAUUUGUAAGAAACAGAGAGAUCUUGCAAAGUUUUUGAAAAUGAAUGGUUUAAGCAUAAAAUGCUUAAAUAGUUAUAUAGGGAAUUGUGAAUAUAAUUCUUUUUAGUGGAAGACAAUCUUUUAGAACCAUCCUCUAGCUUUUU
Molecule: unclassified non-coding RNA, 1587 nt
Filed under: Haliotis rubra (blacklip abalone)
Lineage: Eukaryota; Metazoa; Mollusca; Gastropoda; Lepetellida; Haliotidae
Description: uncharacterized LOC124265779, transcript variant X2
Source: RNAcentral